Molecule: ribosomal RNA, 440 nt
Filed under: uncultured bacterium
Lineage: Bacteria
Description: partial 16S ribosomal RNA
Rfam family: Bacterial small subunit ribosomal RNA
Source: RNAcentral
CCUACGGGAGGCAGCAGUGGGGGAUAUUGCACAAUGGGGGGAACCCUGAUGCAGCGACGCCGCGUGGGUGAAGAAGCGCCUCGGCGCGUAAAGCCCUGUCAGCAGGGAAGAAAAUGACGGUACCUGAAGAAGAAGCCCCGGCUAACUACGUGCCAGCAGCCGCGGUAAUACGUAGGGGGCAAGCGUUAUCCGGAUUUACUGGGUGGAAAGGGGGCGCAGACGGCGGUGCAAGCCAGGAGUGAAAGCCCGGGGCCCAACCCCGGGACUGCCCUUGGAACUGCGUGGCGGGAGUGCAGGAGGGGCAGGCGGAAGUCCUGGUGUAGCGGUGAAAUGCGUAGAUAUCAGGAGGAACACCGGUGGCGAAGGCGGCCUGCUGGACUGCAACUGACGUUGAGGCCCGAAAGCGUGGGGAGCAAACAGGAUUAGAUACCCCAGUAGUC